AAGCGACUACUGUGCUCGACAGGGACCUAUUCGGCCGAACCGAUAACGCGAACCUGCGGGAGGCACGUAUUCGGCACGCUCGAGGACAUGCCCGCCAGGUAGCGGGACUUCCAGGCGGCCGGCAGCCACCCACCUUUUGAGCGGGUUCGCUGAAUACCUCCCAUCGGCACGGCGGUUCUUC
RNAcentral lists this non-coding RNA (181 nucleotides) under Phycisphaerales bacterium. RNAcentral describes it as "6S RNA". It matches the Rfam family "6S / SsrS RNA". Rfam says of the family: E. coli 6S RNA was the first non coding RNA to be sequenced, but its function was unknown until recently. It consists of 184 nucleotides that fold into an extended hairpin structure with a large single-stranded internal bulge. Lineage: Bacteria; Pseudomonadati; Planctomycetota; Phycisphaerae; Phycisphaerales. The record is from RNAcentral.